AGUCCCGAGGUGUUUGUCAUGUUAGAUUGCAAAUCUUAAGGAGCAGACUAGUCGUCUGCCGGGGCUU
This 67-nucleotide transfer RNA is filed under the name Grammatorcynus bilineatus (double-lined mackerel). Its description in RNAcentral is "tRNA-Cys". Lineage: Eukaryota; Metazoa; Chordata; Actinopteri; Scombriformes; Scombridae. The record is from RNAcentral.